This 338-nucleotide unclassified non-coding RNA is filed under the name soil metagenome. Its description in RNAcentral is "partial contains 5.8S ribosomal RNA, internal transcribed spacer 2, and large subunit ribosomal RNA". The stretch from base 1 to 121 matches the Rfam family "5.8S ribosomal RNA", at positions 35 to 154 of the family's 154-position model. The record is from RNAcentral.
GAUGAAGAACGUAGCAAAAUGCGAUAAGUAAUGCGAAUUGCAGAAUUUCCGUGAGUCAUCGAAUCUUUGAACGCACAUUGCGCCCCAUGGUAUUCCGUGGGGCAUGCCUGUUCGAGCGUCAUUUACCCCCUCAAGCUCCGCUUGGUGUUGGGCGUCUGUCCCGCUUCGCGCGCGGACUCGCCCCAAAGGUAUUGGCAGCGGUCGUGCCAGCUUCUCGCGCAGCACAUUGCGCUUCUCGAGGCACCGGUGGGCCCGCGUCCAUCAAGCUCACCCCCCCAGUUUGACCUCGGAUCAGGUAGGGAUACCCGCUGAACUUAAGCAUAUCAAUAAGCGGAGGA